This 427-nucleotide ribosomal RNA is filed under the name uncultured bacterium. RNAcentral's name for it is "partial 16S ribosomal RNA". It matches the Rfam family "Bacterial small subunit ribosomal RNA", at positions 355 to 774 of the family's 1533-position model. The record is from RNAcentral.
UGGGGAAUAUUGCACAAUGGGCGCAAGCCUGAUGCAGCCAUGCCGCGUGUAUGAAGAAGGCCUUCGGGUUGUAAAGUACUUUCAGCGAGGAGGAAGGCGUUGUGGUUAAUAACCGCAGCGAUUGACGUUACUCGCAGAAGAAGCACCGGCUAACUCCGUGCCAGCAGCCGCGGUAAUACGGAGGGUGCAAGCGUUAAUCGGAAUUACUGGGCGUAAAGCGCACGCAGGCGGUCUGUAAAGUCGGAUGUGAAAUCCCCGGGCUCAACCUGGGAACUGCAUCCGAAACUGGCAGGCUAGAGUCUUGUAGAGGGGGGUAGAAUUCCAGGUGUAGCGGUGAAAUGCGUAGAGAUCUGGAGGAAUACCGGUGGCGAAGGCGGCCCCCUGGACAAAGACUGACGCUCAGGUGCGAAAGCGUGGGGAGCAAACA